ACCACAUCCUUUCUUGCAAAGCAGCUCUGAUUGGUCCAGAUGGAUCCCACGCCGCUGGCUCAUCAUUUUUCACCAAAGUCAGGAGGACUGCUGGGGGGGACCAGAAGACCGAAAACUUAAAAAAAACAAACAAAGCCAUGAGCAGCUUGCCAGGGUGAGGACUGAGUUUGUGGACAGGGUGUCAAAUCCUGUGAUAUGCAGCUGCUGGACGACCUUUGUCUCAAGAGGAGCAGAAGUGGUCAUUCACAUUCAUCUCUACUGCUGAGGCAUUGUGGACAGAGAAGAAUGAAUGAAGAGUCACAACAUUCAGCAUCAUGCAAUUUUUAAAGCUGUUUUAGUUUACUGAGGUGUUCAGAAUUCAUUGCCAGAUUGAUUCUGACUAUGCGCAGUAUAUACAAAUGUUUUCUGCACACAUUGGACUGGCCUAAAUACAUUUUAAUUAUUCAUUAUUCUUUCACAUAUAAAACUUUCUUGCAGCUUUAAACACUAUAAAUAAACAACCUAUAUGCUGCAGUAGGAUACAUUGCAUCUGUUUAUUCAUAUCGACAAGGAAACCACAUGUAACAGGAUUGGAUGGUAUUUUUCAGGGGGUAGUCAAGUUAAGAAAUGUAAGACUAUUUUGUGACAAAUCUGAUUGCCAUGUAGUUGUUCUGAAACAAAAAGUACUGAUUUAUCUUUGCUGGUGGAGAGAUACUGUAUCUAGAUAAUGAUGAAGUAAAGUAUAAAUUGUAAUUACAACCUCUUCCAGGGAGCCAUACUAAUUAUAUUUGCAUAAUGGUUUGUGAAUGAUGAAUUACAAUCCAUUUAAAAUAAAAUAAUUCUGUAAUUUGUUUUCAUUAAUAAAAUUCUAAGAAAAAAAUAAAUGUGUGCCUCAUUGGCUUAUAUAUUUUUAUUUCUGGUGGUAUCACUAUGAAACUCUCCCAUUGAUUAUUCUGCAAAAAAGUUAGAGGAACUUAUUUAUCAUUUCCAAACCACAGAGUGUUUUAAAGCCUGUAUGGUUUCCUUAGAUGUUUUCCAUCUAUUGUUGACCUGUCCACCAAGAGUGACCUGUUCAUGCCCCCACAACAGAGGUGAUUCACCUGAUGCAUUUGAUCCUGUAUACUUUGUUUGGCCUCAUGGUUUAUUUAGCUUGUUUGUUAUAUUCAGUCAACUGGGUCAGGGUUAGGGUUAGGUCCCCACACUUUAUGCAUGCAUGUAAGAGCACUUGCACACAAGUGUCAAUUGGAUCAUGUUUGCUGUGAGAUUUGUUUUGCUGCACCUGAAGUGGGUAAGUGGUGGCAACCCUGGGCACUCCUCAGUUAGUCUGCCUCUUCACAUGUUAUGUUGGACUGUCAUUUUAGGUAUUUUAGCAUUUAUAAACUUAAGAUUUAAGGCCUCUUGUUAAAAGUCUAUAGGCCUACAUGUAAUAAAAUAGUUUUGUCCCUUUAUUGAUUGUUGUGAUUUUCACUUGCCCUUUAAUACAUUUUCUUAUUCAGCAGUUCCAGACCCUGCUAUUUAAUAUUUUUGGUUCAAAUAAGAUAUAUGGUUUUCAAAAACACAUCUCUGCCUUGUCAGUAACAAGGUGUGUCCUUGCAUCCACCAUCUAAGGUUUUAGGAUGGUAUAUCCUGGGGUGUGAUUACCCAGGUCGCCUUUUAGGCCCCCUUUACCUAAUGACAACUGUAAUGUCUGCCGUUUAGUGUUUGUUCAAAAUGAGGUAAACCAUUAAUGCAGAUCAAAGUGAGCAGGUCAGACCAUAAAGAUUUUUUAGACAGAAUCUGAUUUCCUCUGACUGAAAACCAUACAUUUUGUUGAAAACACAUCAUACUGAUGGUCUAAUAGUCAAAUAGCUUGUGGAGGUGAAGCAGGAAAACCUGACAGUAGGCUUCUUCUCUACAGGAAUGGAAUAGUCAGGAUCCUUAAUUUCUCUCAAUUUUCCUCAACCUGUCUUCACCUCACAUCCCUUGCCUCACUUCCUUUGCUUUCCUCAUCACUGAUAGGCUCUUGUUCUGCCCAUUACCACUCCUCAUUUUUGAGUUCACUUAGUUACUCUUUAUAUAACAUAAAAGCUUCACUCAUUCAUUCUUUUUCACCUUUGCGGGGGAUGGCAUUUCUGGUUAUAGAAGUUUAUGUUAGUCUUUAGUUCUUAUACUAUGUCCAUGUUAGUCUAUAACUGAUAACUUUAUCCUUAUUUCUUUAAGGACAUAUAAGACUAAUUUGAUUUAUUGUGUUAAUCUUUAAUCUCCAUUUGCCCAUGUGGGUUCUUCCUUCAUGUUUAGAAAUACAAUUCUUUUGAGAUUUGAAAAUAAACAUUUGGUCAGAGGAUUGAAGUUUCAUGGCUUUGUUUUCCAUGCAUUCUGAUAUAAUAAUCUGAUAUAAUACAGUUCAACAGCACCAAAAACCUCAUCCUCUCAAUUGAUCAUACAUUUGAAACACCUCUCUAAAACAGUUUCAAUAAAAACAUUAUAAUCGUUACUGCAGGAAUGUUGUAUUAGAAUGCAUUAGUUUUAGUUAGGUGUUAAAGUGUUGCUGAAAUCACAGAUUGUUUUACCAAUUUUUUCUGGUUUUCAACUUGUAAACAUUUAAACAUCUUUUCAUUGCUGUCCUGAUGAGUGAAAACAAUGUAUGUCCUAAAUUGAUGUUCCUUUGUAGGUUUGAAGUGAGUAAACCAAAUAAACCAUUAAAAAACCAGUUGCAUAAUAUGAAAAAUGCAUUGUCAUGAAGCUGAAACUGUUUUUCUUAGCUUGUAAAAACUUGAUGUUAUGGAGCAGGUGCGAAGGUUUGGUCUCAACAUUGGUAGGGACACAACAACCCAGCCACUCAUCCAAAACAAAGAGAUUGGCUUUUGAAUGCCAUCUACCAAAUGGUUUAAUAACAUACAAUAUCUGAAUUUACAUUCAGGAAUAUAUGUACCUGUGUUGAAUUUCCAUAUAUGGAAUAUAUGUACACAUGAAGUAAAAUCAUAUAUAUUUAAAGUAUAGUUUAUAUAUGUAAAAAUUACAUAUGAAACCGCUAAGGAAAAGAAAGAAAAAAACAAACAAACACCAAAAAAACGUCAUAGUAUAGUAAGGCAUAAAAACACGAAAAAGGUCACAGCAUAGUAGGCAUUAGUCAUCAAUUAAUCACACAGAAAAGUCCCAACAGGGUUUCGAACCAAGAAUUAUGGUACUGCAGGGCAACAUAUUUUACCAUUGUACUUCAGUACCUCCCUAUAAUAAAAGGCAUAUCAUAGUAAGAGGUAAAAACGUCCUAUUAUAGUAAGGCAUGAACAACAUCAAAAAACGUCGUAGUAUAUCAAGAUAUAAAAACGGCACAAUAUAGUAAGGCACAAAAUUGUCAGAAAACUUUAUAAUAUAGUAAGGCAUACAUACGGCAAAAAACGUUAAAGUAUAGUGAGGCAAAAAAACGUCAUAGUAUAGUAAAGUAUAAAAAUGUCAAAAAAUAUCAUAGUAUUUUAAGGCAUAAAAAUGCCAAAUAAGUCCUUGUAUACUAAGGCAUCAAAAUGUCAGAAAACGUUAUUGUAUAGUAAGCCAAGGAAAUGUCAUAAAAUAUCUAUAGUAUAAAACAGUAUAGUAAGUAUUAAAAAUGUCAUACUUUACUAAAGCAUAAAUAUGUCAAAAAACGAUAUAGAAUAACUUUAAUAGUAGUAAGGUAUGAAAAUGUCAUAGGCAUAAAAAUGUAUAAAAGCAUCUUAGUUUUGUAAAACAUAAACACAUAACUGUAUAGUAUUGCUGAUAAGAUGCUGGGUUUGAAAACACAAUCUUCUCACUGCAAGACUUAAAUCCUAACCAUUGUACCACCAUGGAAGUCUUACAAACUUGACACUACACAGGGCCACAAAAAGAAUAUAGUACAGUCAGGUAUAAAACCAUCAUAGUAUACUUAUAUAUAAAAUGUCAAAAAAUGUCAUGGUAUGAUAGGGCGUAAAAGGUUAAAAAUUUAAAAAAAACGUCAGAGUAUAGGCACAUAAAUGUCAAAAAAGUCAAAAUAUAGAUAGGCAUAAAAAUGUGAUAGUAGAGUGAGGCUUAAAAAUAUCAAAAAACAUCAUAUUUUAGUAGGGUAUAAAAAUGUGAUAAAGAUGUUAUAGUAGUAAGGUAUGAAAAUGUCAUAGGCAUAAAAAUAUAUAAAAACAUCUUAGUUUUGUAAAGUGAUGUGUGUCAUUAUGCAAACACUGCACAGAAAAGUCCUAACCUGGAUUCGAACUCACAGCCUUUGGAAUGACAGCUGAUGCGUUUAAGCACUCUACUACCCUACCAACUAACUUAUGUCAUAGUAUGGUGAGGAAUAAAAAAACACAAUACAUUAAGGAAUAAAGAUGUCAAAAAACGUCAUAGUAUAUUAAGGCAUAAAAGGUUAUAAAAACGUCAUAGUAUGGUAAGGCAUCAAAUGAAAUUGUAUUGGAAGGCAUAAAAAUGACAAUAAGAACGUCAUAGUAUAGUAUAGCAUAAAAAUGACAAAAAACGUCAUAGUAUAUUAAGGCAUAAAAGGUCUUAAAAACGUCAUAGUAUGGUAAGGAAU
Long non-coding RNA from Seriola aureovittata, 4495 nucleotides. RefSeq lists it as uncharacterized. NCBI's taxonomy places the organism in Eukaryota, Metazoa, Chordata, Actinopteri, Carangiformes, Carangidae. The transcript has 3 exons. The record is from RefSeq and is a predicted model, not a curated record.